RNAcentral lists this ribosomal RNA (247 nucleotides) under uncultured bacterium. Its description in RNAcentral is "partial 16S ribosomal RNA". It matches the Rfam family "Bacterial small subunit ribosomal RNA", at positions 796 to 1041 of the family's 1533-position model. The record is from RNAcentral.
CACGCCGUAAACGAUGAUCACUAGUGAUAUGGGGCUUCGACCCCCUGUGUCACAAAGCUAACGCGUUAAGUGAUCCGCCUGGGGAGUACGAACGCAAGUUUAAAACUCAAAGGAAUUGACGGGGACCCGCACAAGCGGUGGAGGAUGUGGUUUAAUCCGAAGCUACGCGCAGAACCUUACCGAGGCUUGACAUCCCAGGAAGACCGUCGAAAGACAGUUGUGCCUUUUGGAACCUGGUGACAGAUGC